AUUGAACGCUGGCGGCAGGCCUAACACAUGCAAGUCGAGCGGAUGAAGGGAGCUUGCUCCUGGAUUCAGCGGCGGACGGGCGAGUAAUGCCUAGGAAUCUGCCUGGUAGUGGGGGAUAACGUCCGGAAACGGGCGCUAAUACCGCAUACGUUCUGAGGGAGAAAGAGGGGGAUCUUCGGACCUCACGCUAUCAGAUGAGCCUAGGUCGGAUUAGCUAGUUGGUGGGGUAAAGGCCUACCAAGGCGACGAUCCGUAACUGGUCUGAGAGGAUGAUCAGUCACACUGGAACUGAGACACGGUCCAGACUCCUACGGGAGGCAGCAGUGGGGAAUAUUGGACAAUGGGCGAAAGCCUGAUCCAGCCAUGCCGCGUGUGUGAAGAAGGUCUUCGGAUUGUAAAGCACUUUAAGUUGGGAGGAAGGGCAGUAAGUUAAUACCUUGCUGUUGUGACGGUACCAACAGAAUAAGCACCGGCUAACUUCGUG
This 484-nucleotide ribosomal RNA is filed under the name uncultured bacterium. RNAcentral describes it as "partial 16S ribosomal RNA". It matches the Rfam family "Bacterial small subunit ribosomal RNA", at positions 30 to 507 of the family's 1533-position model. The record is from RNAcentral.